RNAcentral lists this unclassified non-coding RNA (174 nucleotides) under uncultured fungus. Its description in RNAcentral is "sequence contains ITS1, 5.8S rRNA gene". Lineage: Eukaryota; Fungi. The record is from RNAcentral.
CUGGGUUUUUUUUGGGCUACCCGCCCAUCACCCGCCCUCUGUCAUUUUAUACGAAUUGCUUCGGCCGACGGUUCCGCUAGCGCUUGGCGCAAGCCAGUGCGAACUGGGCCGCGGUCGGUCUACCAAACCUCCAAUGCAUGCGUGUCGUCUGAAGAAAAAAGAAAAACGAAACCA